UGGUGUAAUAUCUUCCUCUGUCUAAACAUAUCAGCUCAAGACUUUCCUUUGUCUGGUUUCUUUCAGGUUUUCUUUAUUCUGCGCAAGAAACAAGAACAAGUGACUUUCCUGCAUGUAUAUCACCAUGGAACAAUGCUGUUCAACUAGUGGUCAGGGGUCAAAUAUGUGCCUGGGGGACAAGCCUUCUUUAUUGGGAUGUUGAACUCCUUUGUACAUGUCUUCAUGUACACGUAUUAGGCCCUGGCAAGCCUGGGACCACAGAUGCAGCAUUACCUGUGGUGGAAGCGUUGUCUAACCAUCAUGCAGCUGGUAAUCAAUUCCAUGUAUACAUCUCUGCACUUUCAUUUCUUGGAUAUGAUGGUCCUUGCUCUCUGUCUCUGUCCCCUCUGUUUGUUUCCUGUGAAAAUGAUCAUUUUCUUAGGUGUCCUAAUGUCCCACAAUGAGAGGUGAACUGAUCGGUAAUGUGUGCUGAAUAUGACUCUCAGGAAACUACCAAGAGGCCUUCAGUGACCACAUUAGCUUCCAACUAAUAAACUCCAUUUCCAUAAUGGGAAGAAAAGAGAG
RNAcentral lists this long non-coding RNA (564 nucleotides) under Dromaius novaehollandiae (emu). RNAcentral's name for it is "lncRNA (ENSDNVG00000003773.1)". The record is from RNAcentral. Lineage: Eukaryota; Metazoa; Chordata; Aves; Casuariiformes; Dromaiidae.